GGACUGUGUGUAGAGAAGACCUGCUGUCUAAACGAGAUGACUUGAAACGUGCCUUUCAAACCCGGGAUCUUCAGGAGUCAUCUGUUCGAAAAUUGAUGACUGAAACAUAUCCCAUUCAGCGUGAAAUCCUCACGAUGCUGAUACCCCUAUUGGCGUUGUAAAGGACGAGUGGCCGUUCCUGUUUGAAGUUCCUCACCUGUUUGAUCAUGCAUCUAAACUUCUUGGCUUCUCUGUACAAAACAAACUGGCACAGGAACUUUCCAAAAAAGAAAAGGGGAUCAAUGACUUCCUUGACUCCAAAGGGAUGAAGACGGGCGAAGGUCCA
Molecule: long non-coding RNA, 325 nt
Organism: Perca fluviatilis (European perch)
Lineage: Eukaryota; Metazoa; Chordata; Actinopteri; Perciformes; Percidae
Exons: 3
Source: RefSeq, a predicted model, not a curated record